Dermatophagoides farinae (American house dust mite) is the source of this 247-nucleotide non-coding RNA. The record is from RefSeq and is a predicted model, not a curated record. Lineage: Eukaryota; Metazoa; Arthropoda; Arachnida; Sarcoptiformes; Pyroglyphidae.
AAUUUAUUGGUGGAUAUCUGGUCACUAACAUGGUACAAUGUCCAAUGAAACAUUAUAUUCGUCAUCAGUCUAUUCAGAACAUGCCUGCAUUGAAUUGUCGGAACAACUUAUUCGGUUCGUUCCUGAAAUUUUACAAUCAUCAAAUUGAAAUUCGAUUUAUGAUUAUGUUCGAGAUCAAUUCGGCGGUUCCAUUGUUCAUCAGCAUCCAAUUCAAGAAUAGUUUGACCAUGUUCAACACAUGAUAUCA